This 301-nucleotide ribosomal RNA is filed under the name uncultured bacterium. Its description in RNAcentral is "partial 16S ribosomal RNA". It matches the Rfam family "Bacterial small subunit ribosomal RNA", at positions 509 to 807 of the family's 1533-position model. The record is from RNAcentral.
CAGUAGCCGCGGUAAUACGAAGGGGGCUAGCGUUGCUCGGAAUUACUGGGCGUAAAGCGUGCGCAGGCGGUUGUGUAAGACAGGUGUGAAAUCCCCGGGCUUAACCUGGGAACUGCGCUUGUGACUGCACAGCUAGAGUAUGGCAGAGGGGGGUGGAAUUCCACGUGUAGCAGUGAAAUGCGUAGAGAUGUGGAGGAACACCGAUGGCGAAGGCAGCCCCCUGGGCCAGUACUGACGCUCAUGCACGAAGGCGUGGGGAGCAAACAGGAUUAGAGACCCCAGUAGUCCCUGUCUCUUAUAC